UGAUAGGUGUCGUCUGUUGUAGAGGGCACAUGGCUGGGACAGAUUGUAGACUUGUCGAGGUGCUACCGUGAGCAUGCCCUGCUGAUGAGCUGGAGAUCGUGGCCUGAGCCAAUAAGUAGAAUUGCAGAUGUGCUGCAAUGAGCAUAAAUCUUCAUAUGGUUUAUAGUAAUCGCAAGAAUUCGCCGGUUGUUGAGCAUGUCGAUUAAGAUGGUCUUCUAGGUAUGAAAUCUUGCCUUGGCGGCUGUAGAGAUGAUGAUCUCUCUAUUGUGGAUGUCUUGACCUCCUUUCUUUAGGUUUAGAAACCUUAUAUUUAUAUUAGAAGUUGUGUCUUUCCCCAA
Molecule: long non-coding RNA, 338 nt
Filed under: Brassica napus (rape)
Lineage: Eukaryota; Viridiplantae; Streptophyta; Magnoliopsida; Brassicales; Brassicaceae
Description: long non-coding RNA (BNAP_LNC014013)
Source: RNAcentral